AGUGAACGCUGGCGGUAGGCCUAACACAUGCAAGUCGAACGGCAGCACAGUAAGAGCUUGCUCUUACGGGUGGCGAGUGGCGGACGGGUGAGGAAUACAUCGGAAUCUACUUUUUCGUGGGGGAUAACGUAGGGAAACUUACGCUAAUACCGCAUACGACCUACGGGUGAAAGCAGUGGAUCUUCGGACCUUGCGCGAUUCAAUUAGCCGAUGCCGGAUUAGCUAGUUGGCGGGGUAAAGGCCCACCAAGGCGACGAUCCGUAGCUGGUCUGAGAGGAUGAUCAGCCACACUGGAACUGAGACACGGUCCAGACUCCUACGGGAGGCAGCAGUGGGGAAUAUUGGACAAUGGGCGAAAGCCUGAUCCAGCAAUACCGCGUGAGUGAAGAAGGCCUUCGGGUUGUAAAGCCCUUUUGUUGGGAAAGAAAAGCAGCAGGUUAAUACCCCGCUGUUCUGACGGUACCCAAAGAAUAAGCACCGGCUAACUUCGUG
Molecule: ribosomal RNA, 492 nt
Filed under: uncultured bacterium
Lineage: Bacteria
Description: partial 16S ribosomal RNA
Rfam family: Bacterial small subunit ribosomal RNA
Source: RNAcentral